UACGUAGGGUGCGAGCGUUGUCCGGAAUUAUUGGGCGUAAAGAGCUCGUAGGUGGUUUGUUACGUCCGCUGUGAAAUCCUAGGGCUUAACCCUGGGCUUGCAGUGGAUACGGGCAGACUAGAGGUAGGUAGGGGAGAAUGGAAUUCCUGGUGUAGCGGUGAAAUGCGCAGAUAUCAGGAGGAACACCGGUGGCGAAGGCGCACAUCUGGCCCGAUACUGACGCUGAGGCGCGAAAGCUAGGGGAGCAAACGGG
This 253-nucleotide ribosomal RNA is filed under the name uncultured bacterium. Its description in RNAcentral is "partial 16S ribosomal RNA". It matches the Rfam family "Bacterial small subunit ribosomal RNA", at positions 524 to 776 of the family's 1533-position model. The record is from RNAcentral.